RNAcentral lists this unclassified non-coding RNA (19 nucleotides) under Mus musculus (house mouse). RNAcentral's name for it is "oocyte_clustered_small_RNA9937". Lineage: Eukaryota; Metazoa; Chordata; Mammalia; Rodentia; Muridae. The record is from RNAcentral.
CAGAGCUAUGAGGGCAGCA